Long non-coding RNA from Musa acuminata AAA Group (dessert banana), 621 nucleotides. RefSeq lists it as uncharacterized. The transcript has 3 exons. Lineage: Eukaryota; Viridiplantae; Streptophyta; Magnoliopsida; Zingiberales; Musaceae. The record is from RefSeq and is a predicted model, not a curated record.
GAAGCCCAAGACUUCGCCCCUUGUGCGCGAGGCUCCGUGGCGGAGGAGGCUGACACGAAAAAUGGUGGCCUUCUCUUUCGUGGUGCGAUCUAGGGUUUCGGCUAGGACGAUUUUGAUGGCGCUGAGGCCUUCGAAGAAGCAAAUUACCGAAUCGGAGGCAUCUCCAUCGAUGCGGCAGGUUGCGUCGUUGAGGAGGCGCAGUUCUUGCACUCCAAGAUUACCGGUGAGUUCGCAUUGCUUGGUGUCGAUGCUGCCUCUCCACAGCGCGAUUGCCUCCGCUCGUCUGCGUUCGGUUCUCGCCGCGGAGUCCCAACGAUGGGGAUUAGUUCCACAAGGCAUCUCAAUGCCUUUAUGACAGCAACUAGCGGUUAUCUGCCUGGCAUGUAAAGGCUUCCAGCAGGUGCGAGGUACAUGACCUGUUGUGGUCUUCUGUGCAAUUGAGAGAAAUUCAGAUACCAUAAAACACAACCUACUGAAAAAUUGUUAUAUUUCUUCUUGUAUUUUUACUUCUGUUGAUUUACUUUUUCCGUUUGCCAGCUCUGAGAACAUUUUAGAUAAUGACCAUGUAGAACUGGUCUGCUGGAUUUCAUGAAAUGAAUAGCAGCUGAAAGAAUUUGGUCA